AUUGAACGCUGGCGGCAGGCCUAACACAUGCAAGUCGAGCGGUAGAGGGGAGCUUGCUUCCCUUGAGAGCGGCGGACGGGUGAGUAAUGCCUAGGAAUCUGCCUGGUAGUGGGGGAUAACGUUCGGAAACGGACGCUAAUACCGCAUACGUCCUACGGGAGAAAGUGGGGGAUCUUCGGACCUCACGCUAUCAGAUGAGCCUAGGUCGGAUUAGCUAGUUGGUGAGGUAAUGGCUCACCAAGGCGACGAUCCGUAACUGGUCUGAGAGGAUGAUCAGUCACACUGGAACUGAGACACGGUCCAGACUCCUACGGGAGGCAG
Molecule: ribosomal RNA, 321 nt
Filed under: uncultured Pseudomonadota bacterium
Lineage: Bacteria; Pseudomonadati; Pseudomonadota
Description: bacterial SSU rRNA
Rfam family: Bacterial small subunit ribosomal RNA
Source: RNAcentral